UUGCACGCUGGCGGCAGGCCUCACCCAUGCAAGUCGAGCGGAUGAAGGGAGCUUGCUCCUGGAUUCAGCGGCGGACGGUUGAGUAAUGCCUAGGAAUCUGCCUGGUAGUGGGGGAUAACGUCCGGAAACGGGCGCUAAUACCGCAUACGUCCUGAGGGAGAAAGUGGGGGAUCUUCGGACCUCACGCUAUCAGAUGAGCCUAGGUCGGAUUAGCUAGUUGGUGGGGUAAAGGCCUACCAAGGCGACGAUCCGUAACUGGUCUGAGAGGAUGAUCAGUCACACUGGAACUGAGACACGGUCCAGACUCCUACGGGAGGCAGCAGUGGGGAAUAUUGGACAAUGGGCGAAAGCCUGAUCCAGCCAUGCCGCGUGUGUGAAGAAGGUCUUCGGAUUGUAAAGCACUUUAAGUUGGGAGGAAGGGCAGUAAGUUAAUACCUUGCUGUUUUGACGUUACCAACAGAAUAAGCACCGGCUAACUUCGU
Molecule: ribosomal RNA, 482 nt
Filed under: uncultured bacterium
Lineage: Bacteria
Description: partial 16S ribosomal RNA
Rfam family: Bacterial small subunit ribosomal RNA
Source: RNAcentral